CCGUUCGGGUUAGUAAAGCUACUUUCAGGUAGGGAGGAAGGUAGUAGUAGUUAACACCUGCAUUAUUUGACGUUACCUACAGAAGAAGCACCGGCUAACUCCGUGCCAGCAGCCGCGGUAAUACGGAGGGUGCGAGCGUUAAUCGGAAUUACUGGGCGUAAAGCGCAUGCAGGCGGCCUGUUAAGUCAGAUGUGAAAGCCCGGGGCUUAACCUCGGAAUUGCAUUUGAAACUGGCAGGCUAGAGUCUUGUAGAGGGGGGUAGGAAUUUCAGGUGUAGCGGUGAAAUGCGUAGAGAUCUGAAGGAAUACCAGUGGCGAAGGCGGCCCCCUGGACAAAGACUGACGCUCAGAUGCGAAAGCGUGGGGAGCAAACAGGAUUAGAUACCCUGGUAG
This 392-nucleotide ribosomal RNA is filed under the name uncultured bacterium. Its description in RNAcentral is "bacterial SSU rRNA". It matches the Rfam family "Bacterial small subunit ribosomal RNA", at positions 415 to 793 of the family's 1533-position model. The record is from RNAcentral.